CUGACCCAAACUAACCAGAGAAAUAUUCCCUGGCAUCUGAUGUCAUGCUGAAAAAUAAACCUGAGGUGAGUUAUCCAUGUGGAGGCUAGGGGUGGAGAGAGGGCUGCUGCUUUGUGAAAACUGGAUGGGCAUCAGUUGGCUGGUGAUGCUCUCCCUAAUGCUGAUGAGAGCCACAAGAUGCUUAUGCCAUAAAUCCACAGAGGGAAUGAAUGCUAUCUGCAAAAUCAGAGAUGAGAUGAGAAGGUGCAAGAUGAAAAUGCUCAUUCACAGAAUUUGGCCUGCUGUUCUUCAUUAACUUCACAUAGAAACACCUCUUCUCAGGUUUCUUUUGCAUAUUGUUUUCCUAUUCAUGUAGACAAGUUAAAGCAUCUUCUAGGAACCUCACACUAGAUAAUUAAGCUUCACAGAUGUUUAAACAGAAAAGUGUUGGUCUUGUCAAAAUUUUGUUAUGCAGUUUAUUGUACAGUCUCUAAAAAUUAUCCAUGAACCAAAAAGUACAAUACAUCAAGAUAAUUAAGCAUCUAAAAUAUUUCUUCUGUUACUUGUAUUGAUCAACGAAUAAUUAUCAGAGGCCCCAAUUCUCUCCUCUAUGUGAAAAAUAUAUAAUAAUGUUCUCUCUAUGCAUACAAUUUACUUACUAAUUUUUGACCAUAGUUCUGCCUUAAAAAAGCCCAAUUUAGUCACAUUGUGAAACAAUGAGACAGAAUCUUCAAUCUUCACCUGAUAUCAAACAAUUUUUCAGAGUUAUUGCUUGAUAUUUUAUCACUCCCCUGCGAGUAUUAUUUCCUGAAAUCUUAUUCUCUCAUAAAAAAAAUAAUUGCACACUGAUAUUGCAUUUUAAAUACCCAAUACGCUUUUCAGCAUGCAUCUUAGUGAUCUGCUAUACAUUCAAGAAGUACAGAAUAGUCCAGGAAUACCCUCACUGAACUAGCUGAGUUAAGCACACUAGGGAAAACACAUGUAUUUCUGCUUAUUAUGUAAGAUUUACUGGACAAAUGACAUAAAAUUAAUGUUAAAAAUUAAUAUGAAGUUAUAUCAGUUCUUACCAGCAGAAGAUCUCUGAGUCCUUUUCUAUAGCUACAAUCCUAAUCAUUUUAUCAAAUGUACAAAACUAUUUUUUUAGCCUAUCUGUGCUUACCUGGAGCUGAUUAUCAAAUCAGAACCGGAACCUACACAGCAUGUGGUGUAACACAUCAUAACAGCUAUAAAUUAUCAACAAAACUGAUGUUGAACCACGAAGAACAGUGAAUGUGGACCUACUUUAAAAAUGGAUGUCCACGUCAUUUAUAAGUUGAGGACAAGUUCACUUGAAAGCAGUUAUCUCCAUCGGUGCACCAGUUCUUGUCUCUUGUUCUUAUCUGUUUCUUUUUCUUUUGAAAGAAGCACUCCAUGGAUUUGUGGGAAUACUAGCAGUAAAAUCUUGCUAAUCUUUUGUUGACUUUGAAGUUCAUGUGGGAAUCCAGGAUUACACCAUCUCCCCAAAAAUGAUACUUCUGAAGAUACAAGGAAAUGAUAUAGAUUUUAGGUUUUGGCUCUUGCUCAAUUAAAAAAAUGGAAAACUCUACAAACUGUUCUUUUGCAACAAAUCUGUUUUCGCUGUCAAAAUACAAGAGCAAAAACAUUCUUGCCCUGAGGAGAACACAUGACAAUAUGGGAACUUCCAUCCAAAAUUACCCCAUUUAUACACCGCGGAGCUGUAAUCCUGAUGUGUAAGUGCUGAUAUUCAGAAAUACUACUCCUUCAUGUAUUCAAGAGUAAAACUGUGCACUCCCACAGCUUGCUUCUCUCUUUCUUUCCCUUCCCACCCUUCUCACAGCAUGAAAGCAACUCUGGAGAGCGCAUCACUGUCAAGUUCUAAGAGCAACCUCAAACAAGAGGCCAAAACAUAUUGUCACAUCUGCUAUAUCUUUUUUAAAAAAAAUUAUUUAAACAGUAACUCGUGGCAUAUUUGUCUCUCCUCAGAGAUUCUUGUACUUUUUAUAACAUAUUGCUCAGUCAAGUCAUAACUUUUGUGUUUAAAGAUGACAGAACACUCAUCUUGUCCACUUGAUAGAUGAAAAGCAAUGUGUUACUUUUCUAACAAACUUCCCUUUAUGUGUUUGAACUCACCUUCAGUUAAAUGAUAUUAAGUCUGGUAAAAGAGAGAAGCAAAUGCUAUUAGUUGAUCACUUAACUUGUAAUAAAGAGAAAAAUUAUUGCCUUGCAAACAAUAAUUCUCCACUUUUCUGUACUGAAGAGAUACUGCUCUGUGAAGAAUCAUUCUUGUCUAAAUAAAAUGACCUUUAUUGAUUUAAUUUAAAACUCUUUAUUGUCUCAGCUAAAGUGGAUCGAAUGGAACUGUUACAGCUCAGAGUUUAUCACAUCAUCAGAGCAUUAAUUUCCUAGCUGACUGCAUCUUGGU
Molecule: long non-coding RNA, 2401 nt
Organism: Gallus gallus (chicken)
Lineage: Eukaryota; Metazoa; Chordata; Aves; Galliformes; Phasianidae
Source: Ensembl